UACGUAGGGGGCAAGCGUUGUCCGGAAUUAUUGGGCGUAAAGAGCGUGUAGGCGGUCCGGUAAGUCGGCUGUGAAAGUCCAGGGCUCAACCCUGGGAUGCCGGUCGAUACUGCCGGACUAGAGUUCGGAAGAGGCGAGUGGAAUUCCCGGUGUAGCGGUGAAAUGCGCAGAUAUCGGGAGGAACACCGGUGGCGAAGGCGCCUAUCUGGCCCGAUACUGACGCUGAGGCGCGAAAGCUAGGGGAGCAAACGGG
This 253-nucleotide ribosomal RNA is filed under the name uncultured bacterium. RNAcentral's name for it is "partial 16S ribosomal RNA". It matches the Rfam family "Bacterial small subunit ribosomal RNA", at positions 524 to 776 of the family's 1533-position model. The record is from RNAcentral.